Molecule: ribosomal RNA, 440 nt
Filed under: uncultured bacterium
Lineage: Bacteria
Description: partial 16S ribosomal RNA
Rfam family: Bacterial small subunit ribosomal RNA
Source: RNAcentral
CCUACGGUGGGCAGCAGUGGGGAAUAUUGCACAAUGGGGGAACCCCUGAUGCAGCGACGCCGCGUGAGUGAAGAAGUAUUUCGGUAUGUAAAGCUCUAUCAGCAGGGAAGAAAAUGACGGUACCUGAUUCAGAAGCCCCGGCUAACUACGUGCCAGCAGCCGCGGUAAUACGUAGGGGGCAAGCGUGAUCCGGAUUUACUGGGUGUAAAGGGAGCGUAGACGGCAGCACAAGUCUGGAGUGAAAUGCCGGGGCUUAACCCCGGAACUGCUUGGGAAACUGUGCAGCUAGAGUGCAGGAGAGGUAAGUGGAAUUCCUAGUGUAGCGGUGAAAUGCGUAGAUAUUAGGAGGAACACCAGUGGCGAAGGCGGCUUACUGGACUGUAACUGACGUUGAGGCUCGAAAGCGUGGGGAGCAAACAGGAUUAGAUACCCCUGUAGUC